Molecule: transfer RNA, 59 nt
Filed under: Andrena haynesi
Lineage: Eukaryota; Metazoa; Arthropoda; Insecta; Hymenoptera; Andrenidae
Description: tRNA-Leu
Source: RNAcentral
UAUGGCAGAAUAGUGCAAUGGAUUUAAGCCCCAUAUAUAAAACAUAAUUUUUAUUAAAA